Molecule: signal recognition particle RNA, 300 nt
Filed under: Oncorhynchus mykiss (rainbow trout)
Lineage: Eukaryota; Metazoa; Chordata; Actinopteri; Salmoniformes; Salmonidae
Description: Metazoan signal recognition particle RNA (ENSOMYG00000050618.1)
Rfam family: Metazoan signal recognition particle RNA
About the family: The signal recognition particle (SRP) is a universally conserved ribonucleoprotein.
Source: RNAcentral
ACCGGGUGCAGUGGCAUGUACCUGUAAUCCAAGUCACUGGGAGGCUGAGGUUGGUGGAUCAAGUGAGCUGAGGAGCUCUGGGCUGCAGCACGCUAUGUCGAACAGGGUGUCCACGCUAAGUUCAGUAUUGACAUGGUGUUCCUGGGGGAGCCUGGGACCACCAGGUUGUCUAAGGAGGGGUGAACCGGCCCAGGUCGGAAACGAAGCAGGUCAAAUCCCCCGUGCUGUCCAGUAGUGGGAUAAUACCUGUGAGUAGAUGCUGCAGUGCAGCCUUGGCAAAACAUUGAGACCUAAUAUUUU